Molecule: small nucleolar RNA, 122 nt
Organism: Ictidomys tridecemlineatus (thirteen-lined ground squirrel)
Lineage: Eukaryota; Metazoa; Chordata; Mammalia; Rodentia; Sciuridae
Source: Ensembl
UCGCCCUUUCAAGGUUGAUGGAGUGCUUUAAGAGGCUAACACAGAAGGGUAGAGGAAACCUCCAUAUGACCCAGACAAGAGAUUGCAAAACUCCUCUUUGGAUCCUAUCUGGAGUUAGAGCA